Arabidopsis thaliana (thale cress) is the source of this 244-nucleotide long non-coding RNA. RefSeq annotates it as other RNA. The record is from RefSeq. NCBI's taxonomy places the organism in Eukaryota, Viridiplantae, Streptophyta, Magnoliopsida, Brassicales, Brassicaceae. The transcript has a single exon.
AUUCCAAAUCUUGCCCAUAUGUGCUUGACUAAAUCUGCUUGCAAUUCAUGAUGGACACUUGAAUCACGCAACUCGGAUCUAGCACGCACAUGAUUUGUAAACGCAUGUAACACCUCCGUUGAGAAUGGUUCCAGUGUACUAUACCCGCUUGCCUUAGAUUGAUAGUUGUUGGGAUUUGGAUAGUGAAAUUGGUAAUUAGUGGAAUUUUGGGUGUUAAAAGGGUUAUUGUUAGGAUCCAUUUCAC